RNAcentral lists this ribosomal RNA (253 nucleotides) under uncultured bacterium. Its description in RNAcentral is "partial 16S ribosomal RNA". It matches the Rfam family "Bacterial small subunit ribosomal RNA", at positions 524 to 776 of the family's 1533-position model. The record is from RNAcentral.
UACGUAGGGUGCAAGCGUUGUCCGGAAUUAUUGGGCGUAAAGAGCUCGUAGGCGGUCUGCCGCGUCAGCUGUGAAAACUCGGGGCUCAACCCCGAGCCUGCAGUCGAUACGGGCAGACUAGAGUGCUGUAGGGGAGACUGGAAUUCCUGGUGUAGCGGUGAAAUGCGCAGAUAUCAGGAGGAACACCGGUGGCGAAGGCGGGUCUCUGGGCAGUAACUGACGCUGAGGAGCGAAAGCGUGGGGAGCAAACAGG